UCCUCUGCAGAAUCCCCCAGAGCACAGCUCCACACCAUGGACUGGACCUGGAAAAUCCUCUUCUUGGUAGUCGCUGUGAAAGGUGCCCAUGGCCAGGUGCAGCUGGUUCAGUCUGGGGCUGAGGUGAGGAGUCCUGGAACCUCAGUGAAAGUCUCCUGCAAGGCUUCUGGCUACACCUUCACCAGUUACUGGAUCAACUGGGUGCGCCAGGGUCCUGGACAGGGACUGGAGUGGAUUGCAAGGAUCUACCCUGGUGAUGGUGAUACUAAUUAUGCUCAGAAGUUCCAAGGAAAGGUCACCCUCACUGCCGACACCUCCUCCAGCACAGCCUACAUGGAGCUGAGCAAUCUGAAGUCUGAGGACACAGCCGUGUAUUACUGUGCGAGACACACAGUGUGGUGA
Fukomys damarensis (Damara mole-rat) is the source of this 402-nucleotide non-coding RNA. The record is from the annotation of a RefSeq genome assembly. Lineage: Eukaryota; Metazoa; Chordata; Mammalia; Rodentia; Bathyergidae.